AGAGUUUGAUCCUGGCUCAGAACAAACGCUAGCGGCAUGCUUUACACAUGCAAGUCGAACGGAGAUAGUUUACUAUCUUAGUGGCAAACGGGUGAGUAACGCGUAGGAAUCUACCUUUUAGUGGGGGAUAACCAACGGAAACGUUGGCUAAUACCGCAUAUUCUCAGAAAUGAGGAAAGAUUUAUUGCUAAAAGAUGAGCCUGCGUCAGAUUAGAUAGUUGGUGAGGUAAUGGCUCACCAAGUCAACGAUCUGUAGCUGGUCUGAGAGGAUGAUCAGCCACACUGGGAUUGAGAUACGGCCCAGACUCCUACGGGAGGCAGCAGUGGGGAAUAUUGGACAAUGGGGGAAACCCUGAUCCAGCAAUGUCGCGUGAAUGAAGAAGGCCUUUGGGUUGUAAAGUUCUUUUACUUGUGAAGAUGAUGACUGUAGCAAGAGAAUAAGGUCCGGCUAACUUCGUGCCAGCAGCCGCGGUAAUACGAAGGGAUCAAGCGUUGUUCGGAAUGACUGGGCGUAAAGGGUGCGUAGGCGGCUAUUUAAGUAAGAUGUUAAAGAUCUAGGCUCAACCUAGAGCGUGCGUCUUAAACUGGGUAGCUAGAGUAUGAGAGAGGAAAGUGGAAUUCCUAGUGUAGAAGUGAAGUUCGCAGAUAUUAGGAGGAAUACCGGAGGCGAAGGCGGCUUUCUGGAUCAUUACUGACGCUGAGGCACGAAAGCGUGGGGAGCAAAAAGGAUUAGAGACCCUUGUAGUCCACGCCCUAAACGAUGAGUACUAGACGUUGGAUUUUUCCAGUGUCGCAGCUAACGCAUUAAGUACUCCGCCUGAGGAAUACGGUCGCAAGACUAAAACUUAAAGGAAUUGACGGGGACCCGCACAAGCGGUGGAGCAUGUGGUUUAAUUCGAAGAUACGCGAAAAACCUUACCGGCUCUUGACAUAGGGAUUUUAGAUUUAAGAGAUUAGAUCUUUCAGUUCGGCUGGGUCCUAUACAGGUGCUGCAUGGCUAUCGUCAGUUCGUGUCGUGAGAUGUUGGGUUAAGUCCCUAAACGAACGCAACCCUUUUUCUUAGUUGCUACAGGUUAUGCUGAGAACUUUAAGAAGACUGCCGAUGAUUUAAAUCGGAGGAAGGUGAGGAUGACGUUAAGUCCUCAUGGCCCUUAUGGGCCGGGCUACACACGUGCUACAAUGGUAACUACAAAGAGAUGCAAUAGGGUGACCUGGAGCUAAUCUUAAAAAGUUAUCUCAGUUCGGAUUGUUCUCUGCAACUCGAGAACAUGAAGUUGGAAUCGCUAGUAAUCGUAGAUCAGCAUGCUACGGUGAAUACGUUCACGGGUCUUGUACACACCGCCCGUCAAGCCAUGGGAGUUGGGGUUGCUUUAAAGCGAUGAGCUAACCGUAAGGAGGCAGUCGUUCACAGCAAAAUCAGUGACUGGGGCUAAGUCGUAACAAGGUAGCCGUAGGGGAACCUGCGGUUGGAUCACCUCC
This 1479-nucleotide ribosomal RNA is filed under the name Holospora caryophila. Its description in RNAcentral is "bacterial SSU rRNA". It matches the Rfam family "Bacterial small subunit ribosomal RNA". The record is from RNAcentral. Lineage: Bacteria; Pseudomonadati; Pseudomonadota; Alphaproteobacteria; Holosporales; Holosporaceae.